GUCCUAGCCGUAAACGCUGCAUGCCAGAUGUUACACAAUCUUCGAGAUUGUGUAGUGUCGAAACGAAGGUGUUAAGCAUGCCACCUGGGAAGUACGGUCGCAAGGCUGAAACUUAAAGGAAUUGGCGGGGGAGCACCACAAGGGGUGCGGCGUGCGGUUUAAUCGAAUUCAACGCCGAGAAUCUCACCAGAGGCGACGGCAGUAUGAAGCUCAGUCUGAAGGGCUUAGCUGACGAGCCGAGAGGUGGUGCAUGGCCGCCGU
This 261-nucleotide ribosomal RNA is filed under the name uncultured bacterium. Its description in RNAcentral is "partial 16S ribosomal RNA". It matches the Rfam family "Archaeal small subunit ribosomal RNA", at positions 744 to 1004 of the family's 1478-position model. The record is from RNAcentral.